CGCCGCGCGCGGCGGCGGGGCGGGGGCACGGGGGGACUCCUACGGGAGGCAGCAGUGGGGAAUUUUGGACAAUGGGCGCAAGCCUGAUCCAGCCAUUCCGCGUGCAGGAUGAAGGCCCUCGGGUUGUAAACUGCUUUUGUACGGAACGAAACGGUGCUGGUUAAUACCCGGCGCUAAUGACGGUACCGUAAGAAUAAGCACCGGCUAACUACGUGCCAGCAGCCGCGGUAAUACGUAGGGUGCGAGCGUUAAUCGGAAUUACUGGGCGUAAAGCGUGCGCAGGCGGUCUUGUAAGACAGGUGUGAAAUCCCCGGGCUUAACCUGGGAACUGCAUUUGUGACUGCAAGGCUGGAGUGCGGCAGAGGGGGAUGGAAUUCCGCGUGUAGCAGUGAAAUGCGUAGAUAUGCGGAGGAACACCGAUGGCGAAGGCAAUCCCCUGGGCCUGCACUGACGCUCAUGCACGAAAGCGUGGGGAGCAAACAGGAUUAGAUACCCUGGUAGUCCACGCCCUAAACGAUGUCAACUGGUUGUUGGUCCUUCACUGGAUCAGUAACGAAGCUAACGCGUGAAGUUG
This 574-nucleotide ribosomal RNA is filed under the name uncultured bacterium. RNAcentral's name for it is "bacterial SSU rRNA". It matches the Rfam family "Bacterial small subunit ribosomal RNA", at positions 285 to 867 of the family's 1533-position model. The record is from RNAcentral.